GAGGGGGUAGUCUAAAAAAGACAGCUGAUUUCGACUUAGCUAAUUAUGGUUCAAAUCCAUAUCCCCUCU
This 69-nucleotide transfer RNA is filed under the name Hyla helenae. RNAcentral describes it as "tRNA-Arg". It matches the Rfam family "tRNA". Rfam says of the family: Transfer RNA (tRNA) molecules are approximately 80 nucleotides in length. Their secondary structure includes four short double-helical elements and three loops (D, anti-codon, and T loops). Lineage: Eukaryota; Metazoa; Chordata; Amphibia; Anura; Hylidae. The record is from RNAcentral.